GAUGAACGCUGGCGGCGUGCCUAAUACAUGCAAGUCGAGCGAACGGACGAGAAGCUUGCUUCUCUGAUGUUAGCGGCGGACGGGUGAGUAACACGUGGAUAACCUACCUAUAAGACUGGGAUAACUUCGGGAAACCGGAGCUAAUACCGGAUAAUAUUUUGAACCGCAUGGUUCAAAAGUGAAAGACGGUCUUGCUGUCACUUAUAGAUGGAUCCGCGCUGCAUUAGCUAGUUGGUAAGGUAACGGCUUACCAAGGCAACGAUGCAUAGCCGACCUGAGAGGGUGAUCGGCCACACUGGAACUGAGACACGGUCCAGACUCCUACGGGAGGCAGCAUUAGGGAAUCUUCCGCAAUUGGCGAAAGCCUGACGGAGCAACGCCGCGUGAGUGAUGAAGGUCUUCGGAUCGUAAAACUCUGUUAUUAGGGAAGAACAUAUGUGUAAGUAACUGUGCACAUCUUGACGGUACCUAAUCAGAAAGCCACGGCUAACUACGUG
RNAcentral lists this ribosomal RNA (497 nucleotides) under uncultured bacterium. RNAcentral's name for it is "partial 16S ribosomal RNA". It matches the Rfam family "Bacterial small subunit ribosomal RNA", at positions 28 to 507 of the family's 1533-position model. The record is from RNAcentral.